UUUUAGUAUUAAUUCAACGCAAGUGUUCAUACAUGAGGCCCCUCAAAUGUUGUUUUGGUCAUUUUAAAAUGCCUUACCAUUUAAGGAUGAGUGUUAUUAUAUUAUUAAAUACCUCCAGAAUAUAGUGAAGCAUCUGCGCUCCGCGUCUCACUCCUUCAAACGCCACCUUGUGGUCAUUGCAAUCCAGCAUCGUCUUCUGGAUGCAAGUAAUUUAUUAAAUAAGGAAAAGAUACACACAGCUUCUCAAUCCUACCGCAGCAGAUGAGUUUCUACUGUUGAUAUCUGGUGCUAGUUAUUGAGGAAGUGACGAUUUUAUUCUCUUUGACUCGUUGGAUGGAAACGCUGCUUUAUUCGCACAUUUUGCGAUAUUCUGGUUUUGUUCAUAAAUUUAAUUCACAUUUUUGUAUGGAAAAACAUAGCUAUUGGUGUGUUCACAGAUGCAGUUCAGACAGAGAAUGGCAGACAAACAUCAACAAGCUACUUUAUUUAAAAUAUAUUGGUUUGUAAUUGCUAACUGUACUCUAAAGCUUCAUCUCCGGUUAAUUUGACAUAGUGGGACUUAUAGUGCUAUCAGGCUGACGUUAGCAUUUUACAAGAUCUCCUAUUGCACCUUUAAGUGUUGUUUUGGAGCCCACUGACUUAAAUACUAUGGAUAAAAUGAUUGAAAUAUUCUUCCAAAUCUGAUUUAUUUGUUCUCCACAAAAGAAAGUCAGGCCUGGCACCAUGAGAGGCCAAAGGAGGCAUUGAUCCUACUUAUGUAAUUUGUGUCCCUCAGCAGGACAAGUGUGAAAUACUUGCAAUUUCAGAUGAUAAAUGUUUCUAACGGAGGAGAACAAAAAUCGUAACAAGCGAGGACAUUGUGUGCAUCUCCAAGAAUGACAUAUUUGUGUGCUCUGGUGUCUGUAAUCAUCCAGGCUUGAAACUACAUGAGGGUGAGUACAUAUUUCAGAUUAACUAUACCUUUAAGUAAAUACCCAGAAUUGAAUUGGUGUGGAAUGGUCUCUCGAGUGAGGAAAAAUGAACGUUGAGAAUGUAAAAUGUACGAGACGUCCAAAUAUCCUGUGGUGUUGUGCAUUCUCCAAGUAUACUCCAAGUGCGGUUGUGUCCCACAGGUGCAUGAGAGGAUUCUCUACAGUCUUAUCUGUCCCCGUUCUUCCUUUUUGCACAAAUACAACACAUAAACAUUUUGUAAAGAAGUGAUACUUCCUUUAUUUCAUGCCUAGAAAUGAUAAUAAAUGAUUUUAAAAUGAUUCUUGGUGUGGUUGUGGUGUUUCCACCCUGCUUCUAGAGUCCUCCAUGUUCUGCUUCUGUGGCUCAGAGACAUUUAUGGGGGGUGGGGGGGGGGGGGGGCUUUCUGCACAUGUAGUCGGUCACUUUUAAAGUCACUUCUCUGUCUCUAGCUUUCUCUUCUCUUCUACAAGGCUGUAAAGCCCCUCCAUACCCCCACCCCCUCUUUUGUUUUUCACAUAGUUUCCAAAGUAGCUCCUGAGCAUGGAUAAAUUCAACAGACAUCUCUGGCUUAUUUAUAGAGAGGUAAUCGUAAACAGUGGCUAUUGAUAGUCUGUCAACAGGCACAGAACCUUAUUCAUUUUUAUUUAAUUUUUUAAAACAUUUGCUAAAAUACAAGUAAGAGCACAAAUGUGUCAAAAUAAAAAUCAAUUAUUGGUCAACAAUGAAAAUUUUAUGGUAAAAUUUUCCAACCAUCUGUUCUCCAAAUCAUUUUUCCUAUGUAGGGCCAUGGACAUGCUGGAUCCCACUCAGUGGCUGUGUUCCAUUCCAGGGAUUUCAUCCUCAUGGCCUAAUCUCUUCAAAGUAGUUACCCACCAGACAGUGGCAUGGCUUGGAAAUCUGGGCGCUAGAGAUCCGGUACUGAAUGGGCCCCACAAACUGACUCGAGAAGAUUUCACUGUCGAUUGGGGAAGGACGAACAAAAUUCACCUCACAUCUAAA
Danio rerio (zebrafish) is the source of this 1950-nucleotide non-coding RNA. NCBI's taxonomy places the organism in Eukaryota, Metazoa, Chordata, Actinopteri, Cypriniformes, Danionidae. The record is from RefSeq and is a predicted model, not a curated record.